This 590-nucleotide long non-coding RNA is filed under the name Gallus gallus (chicken). Lineage: Eukaryota; Metazoa; Chordata; Aves; Galliformes; Phasianidae. The record is from RNAcentral.
CAGCUAUCCAUGGGCAAGUAACUCAAGAAGAUCCAAGAUUUAACUGUGCUCUGUGUGAGGAUACGUAUCUUUUUGUGUUUCUUUGAAUCUGCCAUUUGCCUGGAGCUUUUGAGAGGUAAUUCCAUAUUAACAUCCUUUUUGUCAGUCUAUAUUUUUAUUGUAUCUCACCAAUAUAUUAUCCAGUUAUCUCACUGAUACAUUAUCAGUGUGAGCCUCUGUGUAUCUAGAAUUUGUCUGUGGGCUUGUCUAUGCAUUUAUAGACCUUUCCUGUUCCUAUAUAAACACUUCAAGAAUUGAGUCCCAGGUGGGCUUCUGUUGAUUCAAGGAAAUCAAAAAGUAGAUUUUAUUCAUAUUGGCAGCAGAGAUAGACUGUGGGUACUGCAGGAACCAUGAAAAGAUUCCCUCUAAUUUUACUUUCAAGAGCUGGAAUUGUCAGUUAAGAGUUACCUUAGGUUCUGAGCAGAAGUGCACGUGUGAAUGUGUGCAUAUAUCUGCACAGACACAAAACCAAGCUGCCAAAACCAUCUGUGCUGGAGGAAAGGCGGUGGGGUUAAGCCAUACCGGAUGAGAGAGAAGCACGGUGCCCUGGC